CAGUAAAUAGUUUAAUUAAAAUAUUAAUUUUGGAGAUUAAUGAUAGUCUUUUUUGAUUUUUACUGA
RNAcentral lists this transfer RNA (66 nucleotides) under Cyclopelta parva. RNAcentral's name for it is "tRNA-Pro". Lineage: Eukaryota; Metazoa; Arthropoda; Insecta; Hemiptera; Dinidoridae. RNAcentral also lists the same sequence under 1 other name. The record is from RNAcentral.